UUUUCAGUCAAAAAUCAGUGCGCUCUUUUAUCCGAUGCGGUUCAUGCAUUGAUUUGGGUGUCGCGAAAAAACAGAGUUUUCAGUCAAAAAUCAGUGCACUCUUCUAUCCGAUGCGGUUCAUGCAUUGAUUUGGGUGAUGCGGUUCAUGCAUUGAUUUGGGUGUCGCGAAAAAACAGAAUGUCCGCAUUUCGGUAAUUUGAAAAAUGCUCUUAAACUGUAAGGAAUUAGAGAGACUGUUGUACAUGAAAAGGAUGUGCCUCGUCGAUAUCUUUCAAACAUUGUAUCAUUUGCAUCGUUCUGACAAGCGAUUUGGAAAAAUUUACGAAAAUACGCUUGCUGCAACUCGUAGGCAGCCACUCCGUUUUUAAAAUUCAUUUAAAACUGCGAGGAAUCUCAAAAAAUGACCAACACAUGAAAGUU
Molecule: long non-coding RNA, 420 nt
Filed under: Hordeum vulgare
Lineage: Eukaryota; Viridiplantae; Streptophyta; Magnoliopsida; Poales; Poaceae
Description: long non-coding RNA (HVUL_LNC010658)
Source: RNAcentral